Long non-coding RNA from Symphalangus syndactylus (siamang), 703 nucleotides. RefSeq lists it as uncharacterized. NCBI's taxonomy places the organism in Eukaryota, Metazoa, Chordata, Mammalia, Primates, Hylobatidae. The record is from RefSeq and is a predicted model, not a curated record.
CUCACUCCAGCCAGAAACCUAUGUGCUUCCUCUGUGCCCCCAUGGCCCUGGUUCAGACCAUCCUGGGGGCCACUUCACAUCUCGUCUGCGCCACCCAGAGCAGCGUCCUCCUACUCACCCUGCAAUGCCCACCAACCUCAUGCCCACAGCAGGGCCAGUUGCGUCAGGUUCAAUAGAGAGGCUAUGAGCAGAAUGGGGUGAAUUCUUAGAGAACCUCACAAAAGGAGACGCAGAGGGCGGGAUGAGGAGUGUAAAACCAGCUACUCUCCACCCCUGCCCACCUCCUGUGGUAAAGUGCAGGUUCACCCACUGGUUAUGGCAUAAGGCAGCAUGUUCCAUGGGUUCUGGCGGGGCAGGGAAAGAGCCUGCAUUUUCAAGCACGUGCCAUAUGCCAGGCACAUGCUUAGCUUUUGCUAUCCAUGAUCUCAUCUCGACUUCACUCCAACUCCUGCUCCCCGACCAAGCCUGGCUCCUUUUCCCUAAUGAGGACUCAGCAUUACGUCCCCACUUCACAGAUGAAGAAAUCUCAGAGAAGUUAAGUAACUUUGCUCAGGUUGCACAGAUGGCAAAGUGAGGAGCUGUCCUGGCUGGUAUGAAGAUGAGUGCGUGUGUGCCCUGAGCAUGCCCUUAUCGGGGACUGGAAGAAGAAGACGAUCGGGGAUGUCAGAAGGAAACAAGAAUGUGUUGAGAGUGUGCAAUUCAA